This is a long non-coding RNA of Gorilla gorilla gorilla (western lowland gorilla), 1286 nucleotides long. RefSeq lists it as uncharacterized. The transcript has 3 exons. Lineage: Eukaryota; Metazoa; Chordata; Mammalia; Primates; Hominidae. The record is from RefSeq and is a predicted model, not a curated record.
CACCCGCCUCGGCCUCCCAAAGUGCUGGGAUUACAGGCUUGAGCCACCACACCUGGCCCGGAACCCAUUUCUUUAUAAGCCUCUGCCUAUGGCGCGGCAGGGCGGGUGAAGGGGCUCUCGUGGCCUGAAGCUGUGGUAAAGCUGCUCUGACUUACCUGCAGCAGAGGGGAGCAGUAGGGCCCAGAAAAACCUUUCCUCAACUCUUCAACUGCCUCACGACAUGGUCCCACUCUACCUCCUAGGGUCCCCUAUCUCCUUUCCCUCACCCCUAAUUACUGCCCUUUUACAUUCUAACCUAUCCCCUCACCUCUGCCACUUACAUGUCCCAUCUACCACUUUUCUAGUGUCUCCUUUGGUCCCAGCACCUCCCUCCUCUCAAACUCCAGUAUCCAGCACACCCGUGGGUGCCCAGCACUGCCUUUGAGGAGGCUCCUUCUACCUAAACCAGGUGUCCUAUGGGCCAUCUUGUAUCAGCUAGGCUGUGGACACCAAGAAUCCAGAAUCUGGGUUCACUUAGUGUGCUGCACCCCUUUUCUGCUCCCUGAUAGGUGUUCCACAUAAGCCAGGGUGGUGAAGCUGAGGCAGGAUGUGAGGAGACCAGGCACACAGCAGCCAGCCGGAUACUCUAGCAACCAACACUCAACGGCGUGCUGUGCAGAUGAGGAGACUGAAGCACAGGGGGCUUAAGUGACCAGUCUGCGUCCCACAGACGGCACCAGGCAGCUGAACAAGUGCCCCACCUCCCCAGUGCUGACUGACCCUGUGCUCCAUCCACCCCAUCUGGUCCACAGGAAGGAAAUACCUGGGCUUUCUUCACCCCGCACCCAGGACCGGCCCAGCUGCUUCAACUUCCCUGACAAGGCCUUCCUUGGACACAGGAGUGCAGCAUGUGGGCAGACCCCAUGCCCCAGUACCCUACCAGGCCCAGGGAGCCCUGUUCUCACAGCUCCCUUUGCCUCCUCUAACCUUGGAAGGACAUUUUAACAAUGGCGACUCACCCGACUCAUCUCCCAGUGGGACAGGCUUCGGGGCAAGGCUGGGCUGGGGACCGAGGCUAGACAGAAACAGGCAGUCAGAGGAAGUGUCUCCUGCCCCCCCCUCCCCACCCAACCCUGGAGCCCUGGCCCCAUCAGCCCAUACCCUGUGUGGCCACAAUGAUGCCUCAGUUUCCUCAGCUCACACUGCUCUCACCCCACAGUCUCAGAAAAACCAUAUCUAGCCAUUAUACCAACUAGGGCCUGUCUGCCCCCACACCCAACUGCCACAGACCCAGUGCCUUCUUGGUA